UGGGGCAUAUUGCACAAUGGGCGCAAGCCUGAUGCAGCCAUGCCGCGUGUAUGAAGAAGGCCUUCGGGUUGUAAAGUACUUUCAGUCGGGAGGAAGGUGGUAAGGUUAAUAACCUUAUCAAUUGACGUUACCGACAGAAGAAGCACCGGCUAACUCCGUGCCAGCAGCCGCGGUAAUACGGAGGGUGCAAGCGUUAAUCGGAAUUACUGGGCGUAAAGCGCACGCAGGCGGUUGAUUGAGUCAGAUGUGAAAUCCCCGGGCUUAACCCGGGAAUUGCAUCUGAUACUGGUCAGCUAGAGUCUUGGAGAGGGGGGUAGAAUUCCAUGUGUAGCGGUGAAAUGCGUAGAGAUGUGGAGGAAUACCGGUGGCGAAGGCGGCCCCCUGGACAAAGACUGACGCUCAGGUGCGAAAGCGUGGGGAGCAAACAGG
RNAcentral lists this ribosomal RNA (429 nucleotides) under Chloroflexota bacterium. RNAcentral describes it as "Chloroflexi bacterium partial 16S ribosomal RNA". It matches the Rfam family "Bacterial small subunit ribosomal RNA", at positions 355 to 776 of the family's 1533-position model. Lineage: Bacteria; Bacillati; Chloroflexota. The record is from RNAcentral.